CUGUUUCCUGCCCCUGCCUUUCCCACCACAGGGAACACCACGUGUUCACUCCGUGAGAACAGUCCUGCCUGGAAUGUCAGGCUCUCGUCCCUUGUCGUUUCCGCAGACUUGCGUGCAGGGAGAGUCGGUGCCUUUUCCCUGCGGAGUUGCCCCACGCUGCAGCGACGUCAGUGUUGGGGACGGCUCUGAGAAGCUGCGCUUCAGUGUGGUGAAAAGAUCAUGGUGGUACAACCUGGGCGAGAGCCUGCAACAGCCCUUGGAAAGCUGGAGAAAACAAACCCAAGCAAUUCUUCCAGGGCAUUUGGAUUCAUUCCCGCAUUUUAUAUUUAGUUGUUGAUCUUGUUUUAGGCAGUCGAGUCACUUCCAAGUGAGAACGGACAGGCCUGCGUUACACCCAGAACACCUGGUGGAGGAAGAACACCUGACUUUGUCUCAGACAGGAAUAUUCUCCACACCUGAAAGCAUUUCCAGUGCUUUUCCCUUGUAUUCUGCUGUGAGCUUAUUUCCAGCUGGUGCCCUGAUACACAACUGCUGGGGAGCUGCAGAUGAAGGUUCUCCUUGUCCCUUGCAGCGCAGCUUGUCUCCAGUUCCCGACAUGGCGGUAAUGAGCCUUUAACUACAACGUUUGGCAUCUCCUGAACUUCCAGUGCCACGCAGCAAAGAAUAUUUGCCCAAAUGAGAAAAAUUUGUGUCCCCAGACUUGCUGUGGAUUUACUUUCCCAGCACUGCAACGCAGAUCUUUCCACUGCGAGUGUCAGGAUCCGCACUAACCCUUGGCCCCGACCUCUUUUUGAGCUGUGGCUUUUCCUCCUCUCUGCAGUUGGUACCUACAGCUGAUUGCUGGGUACGCUGCGCUCCCCACCCCAGCCCUGAAAGUCAUUAGAGAUCAAUUCAGCGCGGUUUUUCUUCCCUUUAACAGAAAACAAUUUGAAGACAAUGUUCCUCAAGACACAAUGUUUCUUCAGAGCUUUCUUUUAAAUUGAUUUAAAAUAAAUUAUAUUUCUCUGAAAAUUUAAAGCACAUCCUUCUGAAAUAAACAAGU
Molecule: long non-coding RNA, 1042 nt
Organism: Grus americana (Whooping crane)
Lineage: Eukaryota; Metazoa; Chordata; Aves; Gruiformes; Gruidae
Exons: 3
Source: RefSeq, a predicted model, not a curated record